AACGAACGCUGGCGGCAUGCCUAACACAUGCAAGUCGAGCGAGGACUUCGGUUCUAGCGUCGGACGGGUUAGUAACGCGGGGGAAUGUGCCCUUCUCUACGGAAUAGCGCGGGGAAACUGGUAGUAAUAGCGUAUACGCUCUCUUGUGGGAAGAUUUAUCGGAGAAGGAUCAGCCCGCGUUGUAUUAGGUUGGUGGUGGGGUAAUGGCCUACCAAGCCGACGAUCCAUAGCGGGUUUGAGAGGAUGAUCAGCCACACUGGCACUGAGACACGGCCCAGACUCCUACGGGAGGCAGCAGUGGGGAAUCUUAGAAAAUGGGGGCAACCCUGAUCUAGCCAUGCCGCGUGAGUGAUGAAGGCAUUAGGGUUGUAAAGCUCUUUCAGCUGGGAAGAUAAUGACGGUACCAGCAGAAGAAGCACCGGCUAACUCCGUG
RNAcentral lists this ribosomal RNA (433 nucleotides) under uncultured bacterium. Its description in RNAcentral is "partial 16S ribosomal RNA". It matches the Rfam family "Bacterial small subunit ribosomal RNA", at positions 29 to 507 of the family's 1533-position model. The record is from RNAcentral.